GGGGAACACCCAGGGCAGCUCCCGUAGGCGGCAGAAGGGAAGAGGGGAAGGCUUCUACUGAGGUGAGACAGAGUGACCCACCCCUCCCACACCAUCAGCCUCCCUCCCCUCUCCACCCUUCUGUGCUGGGACCCCAGAGCCCAUAGACAGCUGGGGGAGCGGGGAGACAGGAGGAACUCAAGCUCAGCUUCUGCUUCCUGUCUCCUGGGACCCUCGGGCAGCCCCCUCCAGCUUCCUGGGAGUCCAAUUUCCCAAGGUAGAACGGUGGCGGCAGAGCCUGGCCCUGUAGUGGGGCAGCUGCACCCAGGUGAGUGGCUUGCAGUUCCUGGAGCCCUGCAGGUUGUUGGAGAGGCAGGGAGCCCUUCUCCCUCCCACCUGCCCUCUUGCACUUCCUCUCCCAGAACCCAGCGCUACUCCCAGAGGCCCUGAGCUGAAGCCCUAGAAGGUAACCAUCUCCUGGCUGGACACAGAGAGGGCAAGUUGGGGCCAGGCGUGAGGACAGGUGCCCCAGGAGCCACCUGCUCCACUUAUCCACGAAGGCCUUAACUGGCUCAGGGGCCCAGAGCUCCCAUUCAAGCCCCAGCCUCCUGACCUUGUCCUGCCCUGGUGCUGCCAGUCGGGUGGAGGUGUCUCAGGGCCAGCUGGUCUCCUGGCAACUGAAGCCCGCGCUUCCCUUCCAUUCACUCAUUCCUUCCUUUCCUCACGCAGGAGGCGCUGCAAGGCUCAGUGCUCCUGGAGCCUUGAGUCUACGGUAUGAGUUAAACAGAAGGGUAUCUCCUCCAUCAGAUCUACAGGAGGGUGUCUCCUCCAUCAGACCUGAAGCUUCCAAGGCAUUUUACCCAAAGCUCCAGCACCUGUCCCAAGGCUGGGCUGUGCUGUGUCCUCAGUGAAAGAAUGGAUGAGUCACAAGUGAAUGACUGAAGAGCUGAACCAAUGGGAAAACUGAUGCUCAGAGGCUUGAGCAACCGAGGCAAGGACCCGUCCUUAGAGGCAGAAGCAGAACUCAGAGGAAGAGCACCCUGACCACAAAGCCCCAGGGUCCAGAAAGACUCAUCCACUGGAGUCUGUAUUUCCUGAGUCCGCUUCUCACUGGUAAGUCCUGAGCCCCGUUCCUUCCCAGCACCCACUCUUGGAGCAGCUAUCCAGAGCUGUGCUGUGGCUGCUGCGGUCAGGGAGAGGUCACAUGCUCCAGCCAGGGGCUUUGGGGGCUCAGUUUAGAACUAACACUCCAAGCAAGUCGUGCUGAGUGUCUGGGCUUCUUCUAGGAAGGUGUUUCCAAUCAUCAAAUGUGCCAUUAAAAAAAAAAGCAUGUCAGUUAAGUGUGCACUAAGCCUGGACCACAUGGGACAUAGUUGUUCUAAUAAACACGAAUAAGCCAGUUUUCACAUUAGAGAAAUAACAGUUUCUUGUAGAAAUGUGGUGCUUUUAAAAGAGGUCAAUUAAUAAACAGCAGGUAAUUGUUCAUGGCACAUUGUGGCAGAGGGUAAUUUUCAUUUUAGAGGAUGGAAGGGCCAAAUACCCCUCCCCACUCAGCAUUUUUCUGUAAUAAUCACCUCAGCUUCACCUCCGCCUUUCAUUUUUACAGCUGGAGCUGUUUAUCAUUGACCAACUUUCACUAAAAAGGAAAAACUAUCACUUAAACAAAGCCAUUGAAACCCCAACAUCAUAUGUGGAUUUUUUAACAUAAAUAAAUCAUACAAACUAA
This 1705-nucleotide non-coding RNA is filed under the name Pongo abelii (Sumatran orangutan). Lineage: Eukaryota; Metazoa; Chordata; Mammalia; Primates; Hominidae. The record is from RNAcentral.